RNAcentral lists this ribosomal RNA (380 nucleotides) under uncultured eukaryote. RNAcentral describes it as "partial 18S ribosomal RNA". It matches the Rfam family "Eukaryotic small subunit ribosomal RNA", at positions 592 to 976 of the family's 1831-position model. The record is from RNAcentral.
CAAUAGCGUAUAUUAAAGUUGUUGCGGUUAAAAAGCUCGUAGUUGGAUUUCUGUUGAGGACGGCCGGUCCGCACUAUGUGCGUGUAUCUGGUUCGGCCUCGGCAUCCUCUCGAAAGCCGUUUCUGCGCUUGAUUGCGUGGUUCGGACUUCGGGACUUUUACUUUGAGGAAAUUAGAGUGUUCACGGCAGGCAAGCGCCUUGAAUAUAUUAGCAUGGAAUAAUAAUAUAGGAUCUUGGUCCUAUUUUGUUGGUUUCUAGGGCUAAGAUAAUGAUUAAUAGGGACAAUUGGGGGCAUUCGUAUUAACGCGUCAGAGGUGGAAUUCUUGGAUUGCGUUACGACGAACUACUGCGAAAGCACUUGCCAAGGAUGUUUUCAUUGA